RNAcentral lists this ribosomal RNA (336 nucleotides) under Terebra sp. MNHN IM 2009-10103. RNAcentral describes it as "partial 12S ribosomal RNA". Lineage: Eukaryota; Metazoa; Mollusca; Gastropoda; Neogastropoda; Terebridae. The record is from RNAcentral.
UAUGAAAGUUGUAAUUUAAACUCAAAGAACUUGGCGGUGUUUUAGACCAUUUAGGGGAACCUGUCUCAUAAUCGACAAUCCACGUUGUACCUGACCCUUUUUUGUUUUUCAGUUUGUAUACCGUUGUCGUCAGGUAACUUUUUAGAAAAUAGAAGUUGGCCGGAAAAAUAAGGAUGAUUUAAUACGUCAAAUCAAGGUGCAGCUAAUAAAAGGGGGAGGAUGGGUUACAGUUAUAUAUUUAUAAAUACGGAUGUCGCGUGUAAGUGUGAUUUGUGAAGGCGGACUUAAAAGUAAAUUAGGUUAUAAGAAUAAUUUGAAUAAGGCCCUGAAACGUGU